UACGUAGGGGGCAAGCGUUGUCCGGAAUCAUUGGGCGUAAAGCGCGCGUAGGCGGCCCUGUUAGUCCGCUGUAAAAGUCAAAGGCUCAACCUUUGAAUGCCGGUGGAUACUGCAGGGCUAGAGUCCGGAAGAGGCGAGUGGAAUUCCUGGUGUAGCGGUGGAAUGCGCAGAUAUCAGGAGGAACACCAAUUGCGAAGGCAGCUCGCUGGGACGUUACUGGCGCUGAGACGCGAAAGCGUGGGGAGCAAACAGG
RNAcentral lists this ribosomal RNA (253 nucleotides) under uncultured bacterium. Its description in RNAcentral is "partial 16S ribosomal RNA". It matches the Rfam family "Bacterial small subunit ribosomal RNA", at positions 524 to 776 of the family's 1533-position model. The record is from RNAcentral.